GACGAACGCUGGCGGCGUGCUUAACACAUGCAAGUCGAACGGAAAGGCGCUGCUCUUGUGGGGUGCUCGAGUGGCGAACGGGUGAGUAACACGUGAGUAACCUGCCCUUGACUUUGGGAUAACUUCAGGGAACUGGGGCUAAUACAGGAUAGGAGCUCCUGCUGCAUGGGGGGGGUUGGAAAGUGUCGGCGGUUGGGGAUGGACUGGCGGCUUAUCAGCUUGUUGGUGGGGUAGUGGCUUACGAAGGCUUUGACGGGUAGCCGGCCUGAGAGGGUGGCCGGCCACAUUGGGACUGAGAGACGGCGCAGACGCCUACGGGAGGCAGCAGUGGGGAAUAUUGCGCAGUGGGCGGAAGCCUGAUGCAGCAGCGCCGCGUGCGGGAUGACGGCCUUCGGGUUGUGAACCGCUUUCGCCUGUGACGAAGCGUGAGUGACGGUAAUGGGUAAAGAAGCACCGGCUAACUACGUG
Molecule: ribosomal RNA, 468 nt
Filed under: uncultured bacterium
Lineage: Bacteria
Description: partial 16S ribosomal RNA
Rfam family: Bacterial small subunit ribosomal RNA
Source: RNAcentral